Molecule: ribosomal RNA, 497 nt
Filed under: uncultured bacterium
Lineage: Bacteria
Description: partial 16S ribosomal RNA
Rfam family: Bacterial small subunit ribosomal RNA
Source: RNAcentral
GAUGAACGCUGGCGGCGUGCCUAAUACAUGCAAGUCGAGCGAACAGAUGAGGAGCUUGCUCCUCUGACGUUAGCGGCGGACGGGUGAGUAACACGUGGAUAACCUACCUAUAAGACUGGGAUAACUUCGGGAAACCGGAGCUAAUACCGGAUAAUAUAUUGAACCGCAUGGUUCAAUAGUGAAAGACGGUUUUGCUGUCACUUAUAGAUGGAUCCGCGCCGCAUUAGCUAGUUGGUAAGGUAACGGCUUACCAAGGCAACGAUGCGUAGCCGACCUGAGAGGGUGAUAGGCCACACUGGAACUGAGACACGGUCCAGACUCCUACGGGAGGCAGCAGUAGGGAAUCUUCCGCAAUGGGCGAAAGCCUGACGGAGCAACGCCGCGUGAGUGAUGAAGGUCUUCGGAUCGUAAAACUCUGUUAUUAGGGAAGAACAAAUGCGUAAGUAACUAUGCACGUCUUGACGGUACCUAAUCAGAAAGCCACGGCUAACUACGUG